Molecule: ribosomal RNA, 253 nt
Filed under: uncultured bacterium
Lineage: Bacteria
Description: partial 16S ribosomal RNA
Rfam family: Bacterial small subunit ribosomal RNA
Source: RNAcentral
GACGUAGGGGGCGAGCGUUGUCCGGAUUUAUUGGGCGUAAAGAGCGCGUAGGCGGCUCGGAAAGUCGGAUGUGAAAACCCGGGGCUCAACCCCGGGCCUGCAUCCGAUACUCCCGGGCUGGAGGCAGGUAGGGGAGAUCGGAAUUCCUGGUGUAGCGGUGAAAUGCGCAGAUAUCAGGAGGAACACCGGUGGCGAAGGCGGAUCUCUGGGCCUGUCCUGACGCUGAGGCGCGAAAGCUAGGGGAGCAAACAGG